Molecule: non-coding RNA, 73 nt
Organism: Paramuricea clavata
Lineage: Eukaryota; Metazoa; Cnidaria; Anthozoa; Malacalcyonacea; Plexauridae
Source: the annotation of a GenBank genome assembly
GACCGCGUAGCUCAGUUGGCAGAGCAUUGGGCUGGUAUUCCAAAGGUCGUAGGUUCGAUUCCCACCGUGGCCG